GAUGACGUAAGGCCGGGCACAGAAGCUGCUGUUAGUCACGUGAGCGCCAGUAAAGGGGCGGGGCCACUGGUAAACGCUAUAUAUAUUCCUGCCGCCCAGUAACAGCCCUAGUAUUGAGCAGAAUGCGGAGUGUUAUAGCGGGACUGUGAAACUGAACCUCUGCAGUCUGUAUCGGUAUAAACCGAUUCUAUACAUUCGCCUUUUGGCUGCUUGGUGUUUGUUUUGCUCUAGCGUGAGGAUCCAUAAGAGACGUGUCCAUUCAGAGUCGUUGUCGCUCUACAGACAGGGAAGGACAUCAGCGCCGACAUGUUGGUGCAGAAAUCAGAGAGAAAUGGCCAGUUGGCACCUUAUCAUCAGGCCACCUUACCCCUGGCUCGUUUUGGCAUGAUCUUUUGACGCAAACCUGGGUUCCCCAAAACCACGGAAAUGGUGGCAAAAAUAGAAACGUUCAACUCAUGUAAAAAAAUAAUCAGGCUUUGAAAUAAAAAAACAAACCAAUCCGAAA
Molecule: long non-coding RNA, 505 nt
Organism: Xenopus tropicalis (tropical clawed frog)
Lineage: Eukaryota; Metazoa; Chordata; Amphibia; Anura; Pipidae
Exons: 3
Source: RefSeq, a predicted model, not a curated record